AACGAACGCUGGCGGCAUGCCUAACACAUGCAAGUCGAACGAGACCUUCGGGUCUAGUGGCGCACGGGUGCGUAACGCGUGGGAACCUGCCCUUAGGUUCGGAAUAACUCCCCGAAAGGGGUGCUAAUACCGGAUAAUGUCUUCGGACCAAAGAUUUCUCGCCUUUGGAUGGGCCCGCGUUGGAUUAGCUAGUUGGUAGGGUAAAAGCCUACCAAGGAGACGAUCCAUAGCUGGUCUGAGAGGAUGAUCAGCCACACUGGGACUGAGACACGGCCCAGACUCCUACGGGAGGCAGCAGUGGGGAAUAUUGGACAAUGGGCGAAAGCCUGAUCCAGCAAUGCCGCGUGAGUGAUGAAGGCCUUAGGGUUGUAAAGCUCUUUUACCCGGGAUGAUAAUGACAGUACCGGGAGAAUAAGCUCCGGCUAACUCCGUG
This 433-nucleotide ribosomal RNA is filed under the name uncultured bacterium. Its description in RNAcentral is "partial 16S ribosomal RNA". It matches the Rfam family "Bacterial small subunit ribosomal RNA", at positions 29 to 507 of the family's 1533-position model. The record is from RNAcentral.